GUGGGGAAUUUUGGACAAUGGGCGCAAGCCUGAUCCAGCAAUGCCGCGUGCAGGAAGAAGGCCUUCGGGUUGUAAACUGCUUUUGUACGGAACGAAACGGUCCUGGCUAAUAUCCGGGGCUAAUGACGGUACCGUAAGAAUAAGCACCGGCUAACUACGUGCCAGCAGCCGCGGUAAUACGUAGGGUGCGAGCGGUAAUCGGAAUUACUGGGCGUAAAGCGUGCGCAGGCGGUGCUGUAAGACAGGCGUGAAAUCCCCGGGCUCAACCUGGGAAUUGCGCUUGUGACUGCAGUGCUGGAGUGCGGCAGAGGGGGAUGGAAUUCCGCGUGUAGCAGUGAAAUGCGUAGAUAUGCGGAGGAACACCGAUGGCGAAGGCAAUCCCCUGGGCCUGCACUGACGCUCAUGCACGAAAGCGUGGGGAGCAAACAGGAUUAGAUACCCUUGUAGUCC
This 450-nucleotide ribosomal RNA is filed under the name uncultured bacterium. RNAcentral's name for it is "partial 16S ribosomal RNA". It matches the Rfam family "Bacterial small subunit ribosomal RNA", at positions 354 to 796 of the family's 1533-position model. The record is from RNAcentral.